Molecule: ribosomal RNA, 425 nt
Filed under: uncultured bacterium
Lineage: Bacteria
Description: partial 16S ribosomal RNA
Rfam family: Bacterial small subunit ribosomal RNA
Source: RNAcentral
GUGGGGAAUAUUGGACAAUGGGCGAAAGCCUGAUCCAGCAAUGCCGCGUGAGUGAUGAAGGCCUUAGGGUUGUAAAGCUCUUUUACCAGGGAUGAUAAUGACAGUACCUGGAGAAUAAGCUCCGGCUAACUCCGUGCCAGCAGCCGCGGUAAUACGGAGGGAGCUAGCGUUGUUCGGAAUUACUGGGCGUAAAGCGCACGUAGGCGGCUACUCAAGUCAGAGGUGAAAGCCCGGGGCGCAACCCCGGAACUGCCUUUGAAACUAGGUAGCUAGAAUCUUGGAGAGGUCAGUGGAAUUCCGAGUGUAGAGGUGAAAUUCGUAGAUAUUCGGAAGAACACCAGUGGCGAAGGCGACUGACUGGACAAGUAUUGACGCUGAGGUGCGAAAGCGUGGGGAGCAAACAGGAUUAGAAACCCGAGUAGUCC